RNAcentral lists this ribosomal RNA (253 nucleotides) under uncultured bacterium. RNAcentral describes it as "partial 16S ribosomal RNA". It matches the Rfam family "Bacterial small subunit ribosomal RNA", at positions 524 to 776 of the family's 1533-position model. The record is from RNAcentral.
UACAGAGGUCCCAAGCGUUGUUCGGAUUCACUGGGCGUAAAGGGUGCGUAGGUGGUUAGGUAAGUCUGUUGUGAAAUCUCUGGGCUCAACCCAGAAACUGCAUUGGAUACUAUCUAGCUAGAGGAGUGGAGGGGGGACUGGAAUACUUGGUGUAGCAGUGAAAUGCGUAGAUAUCAAGUGGAACACCAGUGGCGAAGGCGAGUCCCUGGACACUUCCUGACACUGAGGCACGAAAGCUAGGGGAGCAAACAGG